RNAcentral lists this transfer RNA (98 nucleotides) under Bifidobacterium dentium. RNAcentral's name for it is "tRNA-OTHER". It matches the Rfam family "tRNA". From Rfam's summary of the family: Transfer RNA (tRNA) molecules are approximately 80 nucleotides in length. Their secondary structure includes four short double-helical elements and three loops (D, anti-codon, and T loops). Further hydrogen bonds mediate the characteristic L-shaped molecular structure. tRNAs have two regions of fundamental functional importance: the anti-codon, which is responsible for specific mRNA codon recognition, and the 3' end, to which the tRNAs corresponding amino acid is attached (by aminoacyl-tRNA synthetases). tRNAs cope with the degeneracy of the genetic code in two manners: having more than one tRNA (with a specific anti-codon) for a particular amino acid; and 'wobble' base-pairing, i.e. permitting non-standard base-pairing at the 3rd anti-codon position. The record is from RNAcentral. Lineage: Bacteria; Bacillati; Actinomycetota; Actinomycetes; Bifidobacteriales; Bifidobacteriaceae.
GUUCCCGUAGCUCAAUGGUAGAGCCGUGACGUUUCCUCUUCUUUCGGCUUCGAAGUCUUUCCGUCAUGUUUGCGCAGGUUCGAUUCCUGCCGGGGACC